This 217-nucleotide ribosomal RNA is filed under the name uncultured bacterium. Its description in RNAcentral is "partial 16S ribosomal RNA". It matches the Rfam family "Bacterial small subunit ribosomal RNA", at positions 1285 to 1500 of the family's 1533-position model. The record is from RNAcentral.
GUCUCAGUUCGGAUUGCAGGCUGCGACUCGCCUGCAUGAAGUCGGAAUUGCUAGUAAUCGCGGAUCAGCAUGCCGCGGUGAAUACGUUCCCGGGCCUUGUACACACCGCCCGUCACACCAUGAGAGCCGGUAACACCCGAAGUCAGUAGUCUAAAACCGCAAGGGGACGCUGCCGAAGGUGGGGCUGGUGAUUGGGGUGAAGUCGUAACAAGGUAAC